This 513-nucleotide ribosomal RNA is filed under the name Glyptothorax laosensis. RNAcentral's name for it is "partial 16S ribosomal RNA". It matches the Rfam family "Bacterial large subunit ribosomal RNA", at positions 1852 to 2569 of the family's 2925-position model. Lineage: Eukaryota; Metazoa; Chordata; Actinopteri; Siluriformes; Sisoridae. The record is from RNAcentral.
GUCUUGCCUGCCCAGUGACAAUGUUAAACGGCCGCGGUAUUUUGACCGUGCGAAGGUAGCGCAAUCACUUGUCUUUUAAAUGAAGACCUGUAUGAAUGGUGAAACGAGGGCUUAACUGUCUCCCUUUUCUAGUCAAUGAAAUUGAUCUGCCCGUGCAGAAGCGGACAUAAAAAUACAAGACGAGAAGACCCUUUGGAGCUUAAGAUAUAAAGAUCAUCUAUGUCAAUGGGCCCCAACACGGCAACAAACUAAAUAGCAACUGAUCUUAAUCUUCGGUUGGGGCGACCACGGGAGAAAAUAAAGCUCCCACGCGGACUGGGGUAAACCCUAAAACCAAGAAAAACAUUUCUAAGCAACAGAACUUCUGACCAUUAAGAUCCGGCUACACGCCGACCAACGGACCAAGUUACCCUAGGGAUAACAGCGCAAUCCCCUUUCAGAGUCCAUAUCGACAAGGGGGUUUACGACCUCGAUGUUGGAUCAGGACAUCCUAAUGGUGCAGCCGCUAUUAAG